This 279-nucleotide ribosomal RNA is filed under the name uncultured bacterium. RNAcentral's name for it is "partial 16S ribosomal RNA". It matches the Rfam family "Bacterial small subunit ribosomal RNA", at positions 506 to 784 of the family's 1533-position model. The record is from RNAcentral.
UGCCAGCCGCCGCGGUAAUACGAAGGGUGCAAGCGUUGUUCGGAUUUAUUGGGCGUAAAGCGCGCGUAGGCGGAUAGCUAAGCCAGAUGUGAAAUCUCGGGGCUCAACCCCGAAACUGCGUCUGGAACUGGUUAUCUAGAAUCUUGGAGGGGGAAGGGGAAUUUCGCAUGUAGGGGUAAAAUCCGUAGAGAUGCGAAGGAACACCAGAGACGAAGGCGCCUUCCUGGACAAGUAUUGACGCUAAGGCGCGAAAGCGUGGGGAGCAAACAGGAUUAGAUA